This 383-nucleotide ribosomal RNA is filed under the name uncultured eukaryote. Its description in RNAcentral is "partial 18S ribosomal RNA". It matches the Rfam family "Eukaryotic small subunit ribosomal RNA", at positions 592 to 976 of the family's 1831-position model. The record is from RNAcentral.
CAAUAGCGUAUAUUAAAGUUGUUGCAGUUAAAAAGCUCGUAGUUGGAUUUCUGGUGGGAGCGAUCGGUCUGGCGCUUAGCGCGGGUACUUGCAUCGUCUCCGGCCAUCCUUGGGGAAAGUCUGUCUGGCAUUAAGUUGUCGGGCAGAGGAUCCUCAUCGUUUACUGUGAAAAAAUUAGAGUGUUCAAAGCAGGCUUAUGCCGUUGAAUAUAUUAGCAUGGAAUAAUAAGAUAGGACUUUGGUACUAUUUUGUUGGUUUGCGCACCAAAGUAAUGAUUAAUAGGGACAGUUGGGGGUAUUCGUAUUCCGUUGUCAGAGGUGAAAUUCUUGGAUUUACGGAAGACGAACUACUGCGAAAGCAUUUACCAAGGAUGUUUUCAUUAA